GAAGCAAAUGGCCAAUUUUGGCUAAUAAUUUUAAUAAUCUGAAUUGGAGCUGAAUGGGUUCUGAAAGAAAGAGAGGUUUAGGGAGACUUAAAGUUGCUUAUAUGAGGAAAUUGCUGGUGAUUAUUAUGUUGUAUUGAGUUUGGUAAUUUACUGUUUAUUACUCAACUUUCACUCUAUCCUUGCCUUUAGUUCCAAUCAGUAAGCUCUUAAAAAGGAGAAAAGCUUUCCUUUUGUAUAAGUCCAGUCAUUAACUUGUCAAAGAUCAAAUUGCGUGACUGAUUGGAAGGAUUUGGAACUACUAAUGAUCAAGGUUCGAAGAAUUUAUAAAAUAAAAUUCGAUAAAUGUAUUCUACAGACGGAAUUCCAUUCUGUUGCUCUCUCCUAAAGAAGAUGCAGCUGCAGAAAGAAAUGAGUAUGUUAGAUUGUCCAAGAUUACUCAAGACGCUCUCCGACGGGGUACAAUUAGUUUGGCGGAAGGUGCGCGUUUGCGACGAGUCGGAAAUUCAAGAAAAGAUUCCGGACGAAACGGGAUUUGAUUUUAGGGAGAGCAUAAGACGUCUAUAAGGUACAGACAUUGGUGAUCCUCCACCAUAGGCUUCACUUUUCUGCUAUUUCGGAGUACUCCUCCUCGAUCCGGAGUCCACUUCUGGUACAGACAUCUUUUGCUAUGUAUAUUUUGUACAUUUGACUAUUUGGGUACGGCGGGGCCCUGUCUCGCCAUAUGUCUUGUUUUGGAUUCGUAGAGGCAUGUAGUCAUGUUUGUGGGGCGAGGGUCCUAUAUGUGUUUGUUUGACUUUGAUAUUUGGUCUUAAAGCGGUCCGUUUGUUAUGAUGGCCCUAAAUGACCCUUAUGCUUAUAUUUGCACUUAUGACCGGCGAUGUCUAUUCCGCCGCUCCUUUCAGAUUCGAUAUGAUAUUUUGAUAUGUGCGACCGCUUAAGACAUAUUUUGAUAUAAAUUAUGUUGAUAUGACUUUUAUGAA
Lycium barbarum (goji berry) is the source of this 980-nucleotide long non-coding RNA. RefSeq lists it as uncharacterized. The record is from RefSeq and is a predicted model, not a curated record. The transcript has 4 exons. NCBI's taxonomy places the organism in Eukaryota, Viridiplantae, Streptophyta, Magnoliopsida, Solanales, Solanaceae.